CUUCUCUGCCUCUCUCUCUCUGUUUCUCUCUCUCUCUCUGUUUCUCUCUCUCUGUUUCUCUCUCUCUCUCUGUUUCUCUCUCUCUCUCUGUUUCUCUCUCUCUCUCACUCUCUCUCAUUCUCUCUCUGUCCCACAUGAGAAGACAGUGGGAAGAUAGCCACCUAUGGAGUGGAGGAGUACCCUCACCAAAACUGAUCUCAGAUGAGACUGGAACCCUGAUCUCAAACUGCCAUCAUCCAGAGCUAUGAGAAAUGUUUGCUGUCGAAGUCACCUCGUCUAGGGUAAUGUGUUAUAACAACCCAAGCUGAUGAAGAAAGCCACUGUCUGAUUAGAUGGGUCUCUCCUAAGGAAUUGGUUUCUUGUUAGGUAAUGUACCCUGGUAUCAAGAUUUGGAAAACAGUGUAAAUAUUAAUUCAAAGUAAUUAUUUGAGCUGUGCUGGUAACUAGACCUACUAGAGUAAUUCUGGCUCAAAUAGUUCUUGUGAUAUGCCCUGCUUAUUCUUAUAAGGAUUGAGAAGUUGACUAAAAUUUGUCCAUUAUUUAUUACCAGUGAACUCUGGUAUUUCCUGAGGGUAUUUUCUCAAACCUACUCGUUCCUUCCAGGCCUCUGCCACUUGCUCAAUGUAGUAUCCCAGCUCUCUGUCACUUUCCAUGCCUCACCUCAUGACGCUGCUUGCUAGUUCAGCCUCCCUCCUGGCAUGGGCCAGACAGCAGCAUAUUCUCCUUACCUGCUGUCAUGAAAGCUGUAAUAACUGCAAUGCCCAGUGCAAAGCUACCUAAACCCAGGAAGAAUCUGGCCUCCCCACUUACUUUCAAGGUGGGACUAGGUAACACAGUCCAGAAAUGUUGAGGAUUUCAGACCAUUAGGGUAUAUUCGGCCACUGAGAGUCAGGAGAAAUUGAGGAGCCAACAAAUUAUGUCUUCACAUUUACUCACUCUCUCCCCCACAGGAUCACUGUGGAGAAGGUGUUUUCAUUGGCCUCUGCACAGGCACCCUGCAUCACUCAUUAGUCAGUCGAGCUUCCUGGGGCCAGCUCAGUAGCAUGCCAACUUGUAUGUGAUUUUCUUCCCCUCAACCUUAAUGACCUGGUACUGCACCCAUUCCUAAAGUAUUAGCACACAAGCUUUCCUUUAGGCUCUGUUGGUUAGGGGCUCUUUGACUCAUUACCCCUUCUACCCCAGCUCACAUACACUGUUGCCCUGCCAAAUAACAUGUUUAUUUCAGUGAUGUCAGCAGGAACAGACAUUCAUGUCCAACUGUGUUGAUUCCUUCUUUUAGUCUAUCUUGGAAGUAGCGAAGAAUUUCUGCUCUGGGGCCUCUCUUUCAACUGAGGACACACAUCAAGACACAGCUGUUGCACCAGAAGCUGUAAUUCUGCAGGCCUGCCAACUGGCACAUUCCAUCAUAUAACAAGAAUUCUUGGGAUGUGGAAUCCAAAACACUGGCCAGAGACAUAGCUUAAUAUCACUACAGUGGUGUGGGAUGGAGUAAAUAUUAGUACUUGUUUUAUUUUUUCUGGUAAGUAGAAAAUUGGAAAUGGUACCCUCUUAUAGUUUCUUGCCAAAGAUGGAUGUUGGCUUUCCACAAAAGUGUAGAGCUACACAAGCCUUAGGAUUCUGUUAAAUUAAUUCUAAAUAUCUGAGAAGAAAAUUACUAAUAAUGUGUCAUGAAUUAGUGACUCCCAAGAAUUGAAGUCCACAAGAACCUCAGAAUGUGAUUCUAUUUGGGAAAAUGAUCUUUUCAGAUGCAAGUAAUUAAGAUCUUCAGAUGAAAUCAUAAUUCUGAACUUAGUAUGGGUUCUAACUACAAAGACUGAUGCCUUUAUAAGAAGAGGAAAAAACACAGAGACAUAGAGGUGAAGGUCACCUGAAGAUAAAGACAGAAAUUGAAGUUAUGCUCCCACGAGCCAAGGAAGGUUAGGGGCCCCCAGAGGUACAAGAAGAAAGGAAGUAUUCUCUCCUUCCUUUGGAAAGAGUGUGGCCCUGGCUAUAUUUUGAUUUUGGACUUCUAACCCCUAGAACUGUGAGAAAAUACAUUUCUGUUUGUUUUUAAAUCAGUUUGUUGUAUUAGGUUGGUGCAAAAGUAAUUGUAUUUUUUACCAUUACUUUUAAUGGCAACAAUCGUUAAUUACUUUCACACCAACCUAAUACAUUGUUAAGGCAGACCAAAGUAUUAGAGAGACCCCAAAAUCAGCAGCAGAAAAUGUCAGCGGUCUAAGAGAAUGAAGUGAGGAGUGAGAACAUACACACGGAAUAGGCACGAAUGGCAAAAAUCUUGAUGCUAAGUCGUGUUUUUGGAUGUUGCAUUACAAAUACAAUGAGCCCUUAUCAAUUAAAUGAUGGGCUUUCUGGUACUAUUGAAUGACAUCAGUUUCUUUUACUUGGGUAUAUUAACUUCCUUAACUCUACAUGAAAAAGUCUUUGCAUAUCUAGAAUAUUUCAUCAGGGAGUCAAAUUGUCUCCUGGAUAUAAACAUCAACAAACCAAAACAAGCUUACACAAGUGGAAAGCUUGACAUUGUUGAAGAAUGAGUGACAGAACCUCAAAUGUUUGAAUAAUGUUUCAUUCACAGCUGUUGUGGCUUCUAUCUAGUUGGCAAAACAUGUAAGUCUAGCCAUGAGCUACCUACCCCAGUCUGAGAAAAUUAUUUUAACAUCUAAUGGCCCUUGUCAUGUAACUCCUCAAGGUUAUACAUUUUUCCAUUGAUUUUACCAUGGAACCUAGAGUUAUCAAGAAGUUAAGAAGGGAAAUAGAUAUAAAUCCACUUAUCUUUAAUUAAAAUUUUUCCUAAAAAUUUUUGAUAUAGGCUUUUUGUAACAAACUGCCUUUAAGUAGGUUUUUCACAACAAAAGUCUACUCAUAUUCAUUAUAAUGUUUAUUAUGAGCUCUAUGUUAUUGCCUUAAUGACAGUUUCUUGAUAACGGAGAAUUUUCAAAUUAGGUAAUUUUCAGAAUUAGUUGUGUCACUUUUAUAUGGAAGCACACUUGUUUGUAAAUAGUUACCUUCACUCAAUUAAAAGGACCAUUUGAGUUCAUUUCAAACUAACUGAAAUGAUGAUAUAUUUAGCAGGAGUUUAUUGAUCAAAUGCAUGGACAUUACAGUUCUUACUUGACUUUAAUGGCAAAUUUCAACUUUUGCAGAAUGGGGUUACUUUGCUUUGGUAAACU
RNAcentral lists this long non-coding RNA (3167 nucleotides) under Homo sapiens (human). RNAcentral describes it as "non-protein coding lnc-USP16-17:2". Lineage: Eukaryota; Metazoa; Chordata; Mammalia; Primates; Hominidae. The record is from RNAcentral.